UGUUUCCGCACCUGGUGUCCUCUAACAUGGGCCUUCAAACCAUAAAAUUAUACAUCAAUAAAUCAACUUUUCAUGAGGUAAAUAAUAGAUCAACUGAUUCUGCAACUUAAGUGUUAAAUUUCACAUUUAUGACGAAAGAAAAAUUAUUC
This is a long non-coding RNA of Hibiscus syriacus, 149 nucleotides long. RefSeq lists it as uncharacterized. The transcript is spliced from 3 exons. Lineage: Eukaryota; Viridiplantae; Streptophyta; Magnoliopsida; Malvales; Malvaceae. The record is from RefSeq and is a predicted model, not a curated record.